CUGCCGCUGGGCUGGGACUCGCUCGGGAGCCCCGGCAGGAACCGGAACGUGCGGAGCGGCCCCGCCGCGGCUCCUGCCCGCGGGAAUGGAGCCCCUCGGGCUCCCGGCCACGGGAAUGGAGCCCCUCGGGCUCCUGCCCGCGGGAACGCAGCCCCUGGGGCUCCUGGACAUGGGAACACAGCCCCUGGGGCUCCUGCCCGCGGGAACGCAGCCCCUGGGGCUUCUGGCCACGGGAACACAGCCCCUGGGGCUCCUGGCCACGGGAACGCAGCCCCUCGGGCUCCUGGCCAUGGCAACACAGCCCCCCGGGCUGCCCGGGCGCUGCCUCCCUGUCCCUUGCCCCCGGGCGCGGGUGUGGAGCGAGGCCGUGUGCAGGAAUCCGGCAUCCCCGGGCAGGGGGAGCAGGAGCAGGAGUGAGGGGCUCAGCAUCGCGACCGGUCGUUGAUACGGCUCUUCUCUGCAGACCUCUGGCAGCUGUCCGCCUGUUUUCUCCCAAACUCCGUGGCAGUGGAACCGCAGCUCAGAGUGCCUCCGUCUCCUCAGUGACUGCACGCUCGCCAUCAGCCUGGCGUGUCCCGCUCGCUUCUGCAAACAAGCAGUGUACUUCAAGAAGGACAGAGAUCAACUGGAGAUGACCCAGAGCUGAACAACAGGAAGAUGAUGCCAUAGACCAACAGAAAACAUGAUCCAUGGAGAAAGUUACUUCGAAAAAAUGGAAGAGUAGAUGGAAUCAAACUCAACCACGAUGGCUGUGCCACUGGGAUGCAGAUGUAUGUAAGAGGAAACAAUUCCAGACAAUAAAAGCAUACUGUUGGUGCAGGAACAAUUUUCACACCUGCCAAAAGACCCACUGUGUUUCUUGCACUAAGCACGAAAUAUUAAAAAAUAUACAUAUAAGCAUGCUUCCUUAGACCUGAAGAUAUACAGAGAACCUCUUGCUUCACUCAGGACUCAACUCCAAAUCACUGCUUUAACAGUAAACUAUUAUUCAGAGGUAAGAGUGUGAAAAUGGAUACACAGUGUCAAAACACACUGAGGUUUAUGCACCGUUCUGGGUUUUUGGUGGUGGGUUGUUUUCUUUUUUUUUUUUUAAUUUGAGCAUGAUUCAAUAAAUAAAACUUCACACACAGUGAGAAUUCUCAUGGCGUAAGACAAAUCUCCAGCUAUGUAAACCUCAAGGAGGUCACUUACAUUUCUUUUGUUAGGUCUACAACUUUCCAUUUCUCUUCUUCCAGUUGUUAUUGUUUUACCACUCUCUGUGUUCUGCAUCUGGGUUUACAAGAUGCUACUGACCACACAAACCAAAUUUAAUAUCCUCUCUUUGGUUUCCUACCAAACCACAAGACCAUCUAUCCUAUUUUUGUCUAAUUUUUUGUGUCUUCAAUCCUUUUUCUUUUAUGUAAUUUUUGAUCUCAUAAGAACAAGCCCAACUCCUUCUGUGGUGAUGCACUAAUGUAACUGAAACUCGGAUUUGCCUCUUAGAAACAAACUCGGUUUCCUCUGUUGACACCAAUAAUACUUCUUCCAAAGACUUCCUCAUUCUCCCACUAUUGUUUUAUGUUUCAGCAGAAUAUUACUCUAAUCCAAUCAUUUUUCAACCAAUCUAAUACAGCCUCAAAGUGGAUUAGCCAGCAGGGACUGGUAGACUGCACAUCCAUCAGUUGACAGCUAUAAAAUCCUUGGAUAAUUAAAUCCAGAGAGAGAUCCAGAAAGGAAAGGGAAAAUUCAUUUGUCUCCUACUUCUCCAUCUGUUGCUGUUCACUCCAUACAAUUGAGGAUCAGCUCCUUGGCCUUUCUUCUCCCAUCCACUCAAAGCUGGAAGUGGCUUCCACCCCCCGGGGCAGAAGAAACAGUGCUUUGAGGAACUGCAGGUGACCAAAGGGCGAGGAGGAGGUGGCCGAUCCCCCUGCCCCCUCCGUUCCCAGCCAGAGAGCUUCUCCAAAAGCUGCACCAGCGCUACAGUACCUACAGAGGGCUUUGCAUUACUAUUUCUGUUCUUUGAGAAGGCUAUUUAUUAUUUGUA
Pseudopipra pipra is the source of this 2023-nucleotide long non-coding RNA. RefSeq lists it as uncharacterized. NCBI's taxonomy places the organism in Eukaryota, Metazoa, Chordata, Aves, Passeriformes, Pipridae. The record is from RefSeq and is a predicted model, not a curated record. The transcript has 3 exons.